RNAcentral lists this long non-coding RNA (3205 nucleotides) under Sus scrofa (pig). RNAcentral describes it as "lncRNA (ENSSSCG00025016585.1)". The record is from RNAcentral. Lineage: Eukaryota; Metazoa; Chordata; Mammalia; Artiodactyla; Suidae.
UUUUUUUUUUUUUUUUUUUUUUUUUUUUUUUUUGUCUUUUUGCAGGGCUGCAUCCAUGGCACUAUGGAAGUUCCCAGGCUAGGGGUCGAAUCAGAGCUGUAGCCACAGGCCUGCACCACAGCCACAGCAACUUGGAAUCCAGCUUGGGAUCUGCCACCUACAUCACCACAGCUCACAGCAACGCCGAAUCCUUAACCCAGGGAGCAAGGCCAGGGAUUGAACCUGCAUCCUCAUGGAUACUAGUCAGGUUCAUUUCCAUGGAGCCAUGAUGGCAACUCCUUUUUUUUUUUUUUUAAAGGGCUGCACUUUUUUGGAAGUUCUGGGGCCAGGGAUUGAAUCCAAGCCAUAGCUACUGCUGCUGCAACACCAUAUUCUGUGCUAGGCAGGCUAUCGAAUCCACACCUCUGUAGUGACUUGAGCCGCUGCAGUCGGAUUCUUAGCCCAUGGAGCCACAGCAGGAACUCCCGAGACUGUCUUGUUUUCUCAAGUGCCCAUUAUGCCCUAGCCGUGGAGCCCCCUCUGAAAACACGGAAAGAUGAAGAGAAGAGUGACAGGGAUUGCAGCGACCCUCUUCUCUCUGAUGGGGUCAGAGUAUGCGGUCAUAUGUCGUCCUGCCUCAGCCUGGCAUUCAAACUCAUGGGCAAAGGCAACUGCCUGUUCUGAAAAGAUAGGACACCAAAACAAGCCGAAAAUGCAGAGGUGCACUGAUGCUGAAUGUGAGUCCUGAUAACUAGUGUACCUCUCUAUAGUGGCCACGUCCUCUGAUGCCUGCAUCUAAAUCUAUCUUUCCCACGGACCACUCCCUUAAUUGUUGUUUUUUUAAGGGCUGCACCUGCAGCAGACAUAUGGACAUUCCCGGGCUAGGGGUCUAAUCAGAGCUGCAGCUGCCAGCCUAUGCCACAGCCACAGCAAUGCCAGAUCUGAACCACGUCUGUGACUUACACGGCAGCCCAUGGUCACACCAGAUCCUUACCCCACUGAGCAGAGCCAAGGAUUGACCCCAGGUCCUCAUGAUACUAGGGGGUGUUGUUACCGCUAAGCCGCCACAGGAGCCACCCGACUCCCUUAGUUCUUAGUAGCUGAUCAGCCUACUAACCUAGGAUGAAAAAGAAACAUAUAAAGGACACGGCAGGUGGCAAUGGUUUAAGAGCUAUAGAUCCCUCAUGUUGGAAGGGAAAUUUCUAAGCCUAAGUAACUACGGAGGCAAAGAAGUGGGGAAGGACUUGGGGGUUCUGAGUCCCUUUUUGUAUGUGACUUGACAUAGGGCACUGUUUCCCAAACCUCAGACAUUCAUGUGCCACCGUCAUGGUUUUUGCCAUAUUUGCACCAGCAGCACUAUUUUUUGCUUAAAAUAGGAAAGUUCUUCAUUUAAAUUAACACAUCAUAAGAUGCAAAUAUCAUUACCUUAAAUGAAACCCUGGUACUGUCCCACUCUAGAUGUAAGCAAACACAUGACUGUAGGAAUAAGUAAAUAGUUACAAGUUGCUCUGAGAUUUUUCAACGGGGAAGAGUUUGACCUGGUCUAAGAGGACAGAAAGCUCAUUGGCACACGUGAGCUUUGAACUGAGAUAGAGGAAGAAGUACACUUGAUCAGUUUGCAGAUGGGCCGUGAAGGAGCAUUCCAGGCAGUUAGACAAGCAUGUCCAAAGGCCCUGUGGUGGAAACACAUUGGGAGGGGGAGUCGAGUCAUGACCGGAAGGCAGUGCGGGCAGGAUGCUCGUCACCAACUCUAAGGAGCAAAGACAAAGAGGACCAUUCAGCGUGUGCCGCUAACGAAUGAAUGACCGAUGAUUCCUGGACGUCCUCCUUCACGUGAAGAAUUCUGCCACGCUCCCUGAGCAGAGGUCUAAGACCGCCUGGGAUCGAUGAGACGUUCUGAUGAUACAGGAUAAGUUCUUUCCAUAAAAUGCUGCUCCCACAGAUUUUCUGGACUGGGAAAUGCAGACAUGCCAGCAUCUUCCACACACAGUUCCCAGUUCAGAAAAUCAGAAAAGUCCUGGGGAUGUCAAGGGCAAGUCGUCAAAAUCUGACUGCGACAUGACACAUGAGUGUUUACAUACUUGUCACAGCCCACGUGGUGUCCAGCCAGACACAUGCUGAGGAGGGAGUAUAAGAAAAAAUCAUCAUCUGCGUGGUAAUUACGGACAAUCAGAUUAAUUGGACACAGUUCCCUAGUGCUGCAAACAGGUCAGUAGACUGGGACAGCAUCUCUGCCCUUCAGGGCACCACAGAGGUGCCGUGGGGACGAGCCUAUCAUCAAACAGAGAUGGGGAGGCGGUAAGAGAGGCGGCCCUGGACCCUCCCCUCAAUGCCAUCUCACAGGAAGCCCCUCGGCUUUCACCUGCCUUAUACGCUGGGCACUCACAUGCUUUCCACUCCAAGAAAGAGGAUUCCACCGCCUUAUUGAAGAGACACCAGCCCCAGUCCACAGAAGCCUGAAUACUCAAGCUUCAGGUCCUCCCACAGAGAAUGCCUGAUAGCGUGCCCUCUGCCCAAUAUCCGAUUUAUUGAUUGAUUGUCUUUUUGCCUUUUCUAGGGCCGCUCCGGCAGCAUAUGUGUGGCCCUAAAAAGCAGACAAAGAAAAAGAAAGUGGGUUGAAAUGAUGCCCCUCUGUGGGGAGUUUAUAGAGACUGAAAACUCACACAGCUGGCAAUGCAGCUCAGGCGUGAGGACAGGGAGCAGCUGGGCGACACCAACUAAAGAGGGAAACCCAUUCCUCACCCCGCCGUUUUUUUUCUUUAAUUCUAAGUGGGAAUAAAAAUCUGAUAUUGUCAAAUUUUCACCUUUCUGAAGAGAAGAUAGAAUUGAGAGUUCACAGCAAAUAUUCUAACAUUUUUGAAAUCAGGAAAUGAUUCACAGUUAGCCAAAAAGGAAAACUAAACUUCACACAUUAACCACAUCAAACACCACGAGAACCAAACAAAACAGGUUUGCACAUUGAGUCGGAAGCCUUGGAAAACUGAGUUAGAGUCAAGGCAAAGCCCAAUGGCAGUGGGGCUCAUUUGGGGGCUGAAUGGGCUGCCUUGGGAUGAACUCGGUAACCAUUUCUCUUCCAUCUUUAAACGAUGAAGUCAAUGUUUUGUUUCCUUUGGCAGAAUUCAUUUAUCAUCUGGGACCCAGGAGAAAUGAUGUAAAUGUCCAGUCCCUCUAGAGAUUUGGUGAUUCUUCAAGGAGCCUUUUUUUUUCUUUCUUUUUCUUUUUUUCU